Molecule: ribosomal RNA, 414 nt
Filed under: uncultured microorganism
Description: bacterial SSU rRNA
Rfam family: Archaeal small subunit ribosomal RNA
Source: RNAcentral
CAGCCGCCGCGGUAAUACCGGCGGCCCGAGUGGCGGUCACUAUUAUUGGGCUUAAAGCGUCCGUAGCCGGGUUGGGAAGUCCUCCGGGAAAUCUGGCCGCUUAACGGUCAGAAUGCCGGAGGAUACUCCCAGCCUAGGGAGCGGGAGAGGCCGAGGGGAUUCCCGGAGGAGGGGUGAAAUCCUAUAAUCCCGGGAGGACCACCUGUGGCGAAGGCGCUCGGCUGGAACGCGUCCGACGGUGAGGGACGAAGGCCAGGGGAGCAAACCGGAUUAGAUACCCGGGUAGUCCUGGCGGUAAACGAUGCGGACUUUGUGUCGGACAAGCUAUGAGCUUGUCCGGUGCCGGAGGGAAACCGUUAAGUCCGCCGCCUGGGGAGUACGGCCGCAAGGCUGAAACUUAAAGGAAUUGGCGGG